GUUAUUCCAACAGAAUAAUAAAGAAUGGUAUAACAACCCUUACGAAUAUUAAAAAAAAUAACUCUCUUCAUGAAUAUGAAAGAAAUAAUACCCCUUACCUUAGAAGAAAUUGGAAUAGUGAGGUAGUAGACUUCUCUUCUUCUUUCUCUCUAUAAUUUCUCUCUAUAAUAAUUGCUCUUGUGAGACUUAGUGAAUUGGUGAGAAAUAAUGAAGGAAUGAGCUUCUAUUUAUAGGAAAAUAUAGUUUCAAUAAUUGCACAUUUUUGGGGCUCGAAAUAUUACAGUAUAAUACCUUCUUCUUUUUCGUCAUUUUUAAUUUAGUCCUGCAAGUAUUAUGAAACUUGCACCAUCUCUCCUAAUAGUAAAACAUGUGAAUCAAUAGUAAAUCAUGUGACUCAAUAGUUCUAAACAUGUGAAAAAAAUAAUUACAAUAUAGUACCUUCAUCUAUACCUCCAUUUUUAAUUUAGUCAUGCAAGUAUUAUCAAUCUUGCACCAACUCCCCUAAU
Molecule: long non-coding RNA, 506 nt
Filed under: Panax ginseng (ginseng)
Lineage: Eukaryota; Viridiplantae; Streptophyta; Magnoliopsida; Apiales; Araliaceae
Description: long non-coding RNA (PGIN_LNC014352)
Source: RNAcentral